AAGUCGAACGGGAAAUACUUUAUUGAAACUUCGGCGGAUUUAAUUUAUUUCUAGUGGCGGACGGGUGAGUAACGCGUGGGUAACCUGCCUUAUACUGGGGGAUAACAGCCAGAAAUGGCUGCUAAUACCGCAUAAGCGCACAGAACCGCAUGGUUCGGUGUGAAAAACUCCGGUGGUAUAAGAUGGACCCGCGUUGGAUUAGCUAGUUGGCAGGGCAGCGGCCUACCAAGGCGACGAUCCAUAGCCGGCCUGAGAGAGUGAACGGCCACAUUGGGACUGAGACACGGCCCAGACUCCUACGGGAGGCAGCAGUGGGGAAUAUUGCACAAUGGGGGAAACCCUGAUGCAGCGACGCCGCGUGAAGGAAGAAGUAUCUCGGUAUGUAAACUUCUAUCAGCAGGGAAGAUAAUGACGGUACCUGACUAAGAAGCCCCGGCUAACUACGUGCCAGCAGCCGCGGUAAUACGUAGGGGGCAAGCGUUAUCCGGAUUUACUGGGUGUAAAGGGAGCGUAGACGGCACAGCAAGUCUGAUGUGAAAGGCAGGGGCUUAACCCCUGGACUGCAUUGGAAACUGCUGUGCUUGAGUGCCGGAGGGGUAAGCGGAAUUCCUAGUGUAGCGGUGAAAUGCGUAGAUAUUAGGAGGAACACCAGUGGCGAAGGCGGCUUACU
Molecule: ribosomal RNA, 670 nt
Filed under: uncultured Lachnospiraceae bacterium
Lineage: Bacteria; Bacillati; Bacillota; Clostridia; Lachnospirales; Lachnospiraceae
Description: bacterial SSU rRNA
Rfam family: Bacterial small subunit ribosomal RNA
Source: RNAcentral